GCCCAGAUAGCUCAGUCGGUAGAGCAGGGGAUUGAAAAUCCCCGUGUCGGCGGUUCGAUUCAGUCUCUGGGCACCA
This 76-nucleotide transfer RNA is filed under the name Arcobacter occultus. Its description in RNAcentral is "Arcobacter sp. LMG 29976 tRNA-Phe". It matches the Rfam family "tRNA". Rfam says of the family: Transfer RNA (tRNA) molecules are approximately 80 nucleotides in length. The record is from RNAcentral. Lineage: Bacteria; Pseudomonadati; Campylobacterota; Epsilonproteobacteria; Campylobacterales; Arcobacteraceae.